AUUGGUGCUUGCACCAGAUGACGAGUGGCGCACGGGUGCGUAACGCGUAUGCAACCUACCUUUUACUAGAGUAUAGCCCAGAGAAAUUUGGAUUAAUCCUCUAUAACAUCUUUUAAUUUCAUGAUUUUAAGAUUAAAGUUUUAACGGUAAAAGAUGGGCAUGCGUCCUAUUAGUUUGUAGGUGAGGUAACGGCUCACCUAGACUACGAUAGGUAGGGGCCCUGAGAGGGGGAUCCCCCACACUGGUACUGAGACACGGACCAGACUCCUACGGGAGGCAGCAGUAAGGAAUAUUGGACAAUGGACGAAAGUCUGAUCCAGCCAUGCCGCGUGCAGGAUGACAGCCCUACGGGUUGUAAACUGCUUUUAUACAGGAAGAAACACUCCGACGUGUCGGAGCUUGACGGUACUGUAAGAAUAAGGAUCGGCUAACUCCGUGCCAGCAGCCGCGGUAAUACGGAGGAUCCAAGCGUUAUCCGGAGUCAUUGGGUUUAAAGGGUCCGCAGGCUGUUUUUUAAGUCAGAGGUGAAAUCCUACAGCUCAACUGUAGAACUGCCUUUGAUACUGGAAAACUUGAGUUAUUGUGAAGUGGUUAGAAUGUGUGGUGUAGCGGUGAAAUGCAUAGAUAUCACACAGAAUACCGAUUGCGAAGGCAGAUCACUAACAAUAUACUGACGCUCAUGGACGAAAGCGUGGGGAGCGAACAGGAUUAGAUACCCUGGUAGUCCACGCCGUAAACGAUGGAUACUAGCUGUUCGUCUAACAUUGGUUAGAUGAGUGGCUAAGCGAAAGUGAUAAGUAUCCCACCUGGGGAGUACGGUCGCAAGACUGAAACUCAAAGGAAUUGACGGGGGCCCGCACAAGCGGUGGAGCAUGUGGUUUAAUUCGAUGAUACGCGAGGAACCUUACCAGGGCUUAAAUGUAGUGGGACAGGUCUAGAGAUAGACCCUUCUUCGGACUCAUUACAAGGUGCUGCAUGGUUGUCGUCAGCUCGUGCCGUGAGGUGUCAGGUUAAGU
This 1016-nucleotide ribosomal RNA is filed under the name uncultured marine bacterium. RNAcentral's name for it is "bacterial SSU rRNA". It matches the Rfam family "Bacterial small subunit ribosomal RNA", at positions 72 to 1085 of the family's 1533-position model. The record is from RNAcentral.